Molecule: non-coding RNA, 30 nt
Filed under: Rattus norvegicus (Norway rat)
Lineage: Eukaryota; Metazoa; Chordata; Mammalia; Rodentia; Muridae
Source: RNAcentral
UCCUCGAAAGCCCGACUUGGCCUGACAUGC